RNAcentral lists this ribosomal RNA (305 nucleotides) under uncultured bacterium. Its description in RNAcentral is "bacterial SSU rRNA". It matches the Rfam family "Bacterial small subunit ribosomal RNA", at positions 338 to 658 of the family's 1533-position model. The record is from RNAcentral.
CCUACGGGGCGCAGCAGUUGGGAAUAUUGGACAAUGGAGGAAACUCUGAUCCAGUGACGCCGCGUGAAGGAAGAAGGUCUUCGGAUUGUAAACUUAUUUUAUCAGGGAAGAAAAAAAUGACUGUACCUGAAGAAGAAGCACCGGCUAACUACGUGCCAGCAGCCGCGGUAAUACGUAGGGUGCAAGCGUUAUCCGGAUUUACUGGGUGUAAAGCGCGCGUAGGCGGUCAUGUAAGCGGGACCUCUAAUCUUGGGGCUCAACCUCAAGCCGGGUUCCGAACUACAUGACUCGAGUGUGGUAGGGGG